This 72-nucleotide transfer RNA is filed under the name Camelus bactrianus (Bactrian camel). It matches the Rfam family "tRNA". Rfam says of the family: Transfer RNA (tRNA) molecules are approximately 80 nucleotides in length. Their secondary structure includes four short double-helical elements and three loops (D, anti-codon, and T loops). RNAcentral also lists the same sequence under 2 other names. The record is from Rfam by way of RNAcentral. Lineage: Eukaryota; Metazoa; Chordata; Mammalia; Artiodactyla; Camelidae.
GGGUGUAUAGCUCAGCGGAAGAGCACAUGCUUAGCGUGCACGUGAGCGUGGGUUCGAUCCCCAGCACCUCCA